UUCCAUCAAACUUUUCAGUGGUUCUCUACCUGUGGGUCGCGACUCCUUUGGGGUCGAACGACCCUUUCUCAGGGUUCGCCCAAGACCAUCGGAAAACAGAUAUUUACAUUACGAUUCAUAACAGUAGCAAAAUUACACUUAUGAAGUAGCAACAAAAAUAAUUUUAUGGUUGGGGGU
This is a long non-coding RNA of Pipistrellus kuhlii (Kuhl's pipistrelle), 177 nucleotides long. RefSeq lists it as uncharacterized. Lineage: Eukaryota; Metazoa; Chordata; Mammalia; Chiroptera; Vespertilionidae. The transcript has 3 exons. The record is from RefSeq and is a predicted model, not a curated record.